AUUAGGAUGUAGUCAACUGACCAGAGGCAAGAUUUAAAGAAAACCUAUUCUCCUUGUUGCAGCAGCUGUUAAUCACCAAUAGCUCUUUAAAUGUGGGGCUUCAGUCCUCUUCUGACAUUAACUCAUUUACUCACCACGUUCUUUCUUUGCAGUGUACCCACUCAGUACUACUGAUUUUGAAGAUUCCCCUGGGCUGGAGAGAGAGGUCAGUGCUUGAGAGAAUUGGCUGCUCGAUCAUGAAGACAAAAGUUGACCACACCCACAUCAAGAACAGCAGUGACAAACAUCUAUAAUUCCAACUUGAGAAGAACUGAUGCCCCCUUUGGCCUUCAUGGGCAACCCUACCAGAGACAUGCAUACACAUCCAUUAAUAAAAAUGUUUAAAAGUAAAAAAUUAAAACAAC
Molecule: long non-coding RNA, 404 nt
Filed under: Rattus norvegicus (Norway rat)
Lineage: Eukaryota; Metazoa; Chordata; Mammalia; Rodentia; Muridae
Description: long non-coding RNA NONRATT033655
Source: RNAcentral